AAAAACGUGAAAACCACAUUUGACUUUGACAAUCCAUGGAAAUAAAACAUGGUCAAAGGGUGUUGCCCGCAA
Molecule: small RNA, 72 nt
Filed under: Arabidopsis thaliana (thale cress)
Lineage: Eukaryota; Viridiplantae; Streptophyta; Magnoliopsida; Brassicales; Brassicaceae
Description: ATSL207880
Source: RNAcentral